AAAAAAUAAUUAAAAAAGGAAAAGUAUGAGAGAAGGGAGAAAAAGUAGGAGAGAAGGAGAAUUGAGUUUCUCUGAGAAACUUUGAGAAACUAUUCUCAUCCAAUUUGGACAAGUGUCAUCAUGCUGUUAGUUCAAUUAUUAAAUAAUAAUUAAUGUAUCUGUUUUAAUUAAAAUAUUAAU
Molecule: small RNA, 180 nt
Filed under: Arabidopsis thaliana (thale cress)
Lineage: Eukaryota; Viridiplantae; Streptophyta; Magnoliopsida; Brassicales; Brassicaceae
Description: ATSL120950
Source: RNAcentral